Molecule: ribosomal RNA, 492 nt
Filed under: uncultured bacterium
Lineage: Bacteria
Description: partial 16S ribosomal RNA
Rfam family: Bacterial small subunit ribosomal RNA
Source: RNAcentral
AGUGAACGCUGGCGGUAGGCCUAACACAUGCAAGUCGAACGGCAGCACAGUAAGAGCUUGCUCUUACGGGUGGCGAGUGGCGGACGGGUGAGGAAUACAUCGGACUCUACUUUUUCGUGGGGGAUAACGUAGGGAAACUUACGCUAAUACCGCAUACGACCUACGGGUGAAAGCAGGGGAUCUUCGGACCUUGCGCGAUUGAAUGAGCCGAUGUCGGAUUAGCUAGUUGGCGGGGUAAAGGCCCACCAAGGCGACGAUCCGUAGCUGGUCUGAGAGGAUGAUCAGCCACACUGGAACUGAGACACGGUCCAGACUCCUACGGGAGGAAGCAGUGGGGAAUAUUGGACAAUGGGCGCAAGCCUGAUCCAGCCAUACCGCGUGGGUGAAGAAGGCCUUCGGGUUGUAAAGCCCUUUUGUUGGGAAAGAAAAGCAGCAGGUUAAUACCCCGCUGUUCUGACGGUACCCAAAGAAUAAGCACCGGCUAACUUCGUG